GCCUGAUUGACGCAAUGGCUUAGCGUGUUGGACUUUUAUUAUGGUAUGUCGCAAUAGAAGACUAUCCAAAAGUUGUGGGUUCGAAUCCCACAUCAGGCG
Transfer RNA from Pseudomassariella vexata, 99 nucleotides. It matches the Rfam family "tRNA". From Rfam's summary of the family: Transfer RNA (tRNA) molecules are approximately 80 nucleotides in length. Their secondary structure includes four short double-helical elements and three loops (D, anti-codon, and T loops). Further hydrogen bonds mediate the characteristic L-shaped molecular structure. tRNAs have two regions of fundamental functional importance: the anti-codon, which is responsible for specific mRNA codon recognition, and the 3' end, to which the tRNAs corresponding amino acid is attached (by aminoacyl-tRNA synthetases). tRNAs cope with the degeneracy of the genetic code in two manners: having more than one tRNA (with a specific anti-codon) for a particular amino acid; and 'wobble' base-pairing, i.e. permitting non-standard base-pairing at the 3rd anti-codon position. The record is from Rfam. NCBI's taxonomy places the organism in Eukaryota, Fungi, Ascomycota, Sordariomycetes, Amphisphaeriales, Pseudomassariaceae.